AACGAACGCUGGCGGCGUGCCUAACACAUGCAAGUCGAGCGCGAAUGGAGCAAUCCUAGUAGAGCGGCGCACGGGUGCGUAACACGUGGGUAAUCUGCCUCAAAGCCCGGGAUAACCUGCCGAAAGGCAAGCUAAUACCGGAUAAGCCUACGGACUCUUCGGGGUCUGAAGGAAAAGGUGGCCUCUGUAUACAAGCUAUCACUUUGAGAUGAGCCCGCGGCCCAUCAGCUCGUUGGCGGGGUAACGG
RNAcentral lists this ribosomal RNA (247 nucleotides) under uncultured bacterium. RNAcentral describes it as "partial 16S ribosomal RNA". It matches the Rfam family "Bacterial small subunit ribosomal RNA", at positions 29 to 263 of the family's 1533-position model. The record is from RNAcentral.